ACAGUGGACGCGAGCAUCUGUGGCCAAGUUUUUAAGGGCGCACGGUGGAUGCCUUGGCACCAGGAACCGAUGAAGGACGUGGGAGGCCGCGAUAGGCCCCGGGGAGCUGUCAACCGAGCUUUGAUCCGGGGGUGUCCGAAUGGGGAAACCCGGCAGUCGUCAUGGGCUGUCACCCGCUGCUGAACACAUAGGCAGUGUGGAGGGAACGCGGGGAAGUGAAACAUCUCAGUACCCGCAGGAAGAGAAAACAACCGUGAUUCCGGGAGUAGUGGCGAGCGAAACCGGAUGAGGCCAAACCGUAUGUGUGUGAUACCCGGCAGGGGUUGCGCAUGCGGGGUUGUGGGAUCUCUUUUCAAUAGUCUGCCGGCUGUUGGACGAGUCAGAAACCGUUGGUGUAGGCGAAGGACAUGCGAAAGGUCCGGCGUAGAGGGUAAGACCCCCGUAGCUGAAACAUCAACGGCUCGUUUAAGAGACACCCAAGUAGCACGGGGCCCGAGAAAUCCCGUGUGAAUCUGGCGGGACCACCCGUUAAGCCUAAAUAUUCCCUGGUGACCGAUAGCGGAUAGUACCGUGAGGGAAUGGUGAAAAGUACCGCGGGAGCGGAGUGAAAUAGUACCUGAAACCGUGUGCCUACAAGCCGUGGGAGCGUCGCGAUGAGUGCUUGCACUCAUCGUCGUGACUGCGUGCCUUUUGAAGAAUGAGCCUGCGAGUUUGCGGUGUGUUGCGAGGUUAACCCGUGUGGGGAAGCCGUAGCGAAAGCGAGUCCGAAUAGGGCGAUUGAGUAGCGCGCCCAAGACCCGAAGCGGAGUGAUCUAGCCAUGGGCAGGUUGAAGCGGAGGUAAGACUUCGUGGAGGACCGAACCCACCAGGGUUGAAAACCUGGGGGAUGACCUGUGGUUAGGGGUGAAAGGCCAAUCAAACUCCGUGAUAGCUGGUUCUCCCCGAAAUGCAUUUAGGUGCAGCGUCGUGUGUUUCUUGCCGGAGGUAGAGCACUGGAUAGGCGAUGGGCCCUACCGGGUUACUGACCUUAGCCAAACUCCGAAUGCCGGUAAGUGAGAGCGCGGCAGUGAGACUGUGGGGGAUAAGCUCCAUGGUCGAGAGGGAAACAGCCCAGAGCAUCGACUAAGGCCCCUAAGCGUACGCUAAGUGGGAAAGGAUGUGGAGUCGCAGAGACAACCAGGAGGUUGGCUUAGAAGCAGCCACCCUUGAAAGAGUGCGUAAUAGCUCACUGGUCAAGUGAUUCCGCGCCGACAAUGUAGCGGGGCUCAAGCGUACCGCCGAAGUCGUGUCAUUGCAGCAAUACUCCCAACGGAGGCUGUGAUGGGUAGGGGAGCGUCGUGUGCCGGGUGAAGCAGCCGCGGAAGCGAGUUGUGGACGGUUCACGAGUGAGAAUGCAGGCAUGAGUAGCGAUACACACGUGGGAAACGUGUGCGCCGAUUGACUAAGGGUUCCUGGGUCAAGCUGAUCUGCCCAGGGUAAGUCGGGACCUAAGGCGAGGCCGACAGGCGUAGUCGAUGGACAACCGGUUGAUAUUCCGGUACCCGCUUUGAAACGCCCAAUAUCGAAUCAGGCGAUGCUAAGUCCGUGAAGCCGUUCUGGAUCCUUCGGGUGAAGGAAAGUGGUGGAGCCGACGAUCCAGACUUGUAGUAGGUAAGCGAUGGGGUGACGCAGGAAGGUAGUCCAGCCCGGGCGGUGGUAGUCCCGGGGUAAGGGUGUAGGGCGCUGUCUAGGCAAAUCCGGACAGCAUGAAGCCUGAGACCUGAUGCCGAGCCGAUUGUGGUGAAGUGGAUGAUCCUAUGCUGUCGAGAAAAGCCUCUAGCGAGUUUCAUGGCGGCCCGUACCCUAAACCGACUCAGGUGGUCAGGUAGAGAAUACCGAGGCGUUCGGGUGAACUAUGGUUAAGGAACUCGGCAAAAUGCCCCCGUAACUUCGGGAGAAGGGGGGCCACAACCGGUGAUG
RNAcentral lists this ribosomal RNA (1959 nucleotides) under Streptomyces klenkii. Its description in RNAcentral is "bacterial LSU rRNA". It matches the Rfam family "Bacterial large subunit ribosomal RNA", at positions 1 to 1765 of the family's 2925-position model. Lineage: Bacteria; Bacillati; Actinomycetota; Actinomycetes; Kitasatosporales; Streptomycetaceae. The record is from RNAcentral.